AUUGAACGCUGGCGGCAGGCCUAACACAUGCAAGUCGAGCGGACGAAGGGAGCUUGCUCCUGGAUGCAGCGGCGGACGGGUGAGUAAUGCCUAGGAAUCUGCCUGGCAGUGGGGGAUAACGUCCGGAAACGGGCGCUAAUACCGCAUACGUCCAGAUGGAGAAAGGGGGGGAUCUUCGGAGCUCACGCGAUCAGAUGAGCCUAGGCCGGAUUAGCUAGUUGGUGGGGUAACGGCCUACCAAGGCGACGAUCCGUAACUGGCCUGAGAGGAUGAUCAGCCACCCUGGACCUGAGACACGGUCCAGACUCCUACGGGAGGCAGCAGUGGGGAAUAUUGCACAAUGGGCGAAAGCCUGAUCCAGCCAUGCCGCGUGUGUGAAGAAGGUCUUCGGAUCGUAAAGCUCUUUAAGUUGGGAGGAAGGGCUGUAAGUUUAACCCUUCCUGUUUUGACGUUACCAACAGAGUAAGCACCGGCUAACUUCGUG
RNAcentral lists this ribosomal RNA (484 nucleotides) under uncultured bacterium. Its description in RNAcentral is "partial 16S ribosomal RNA". It matches the Rfam family "Bacterial small subunit ribosomal RNA", at positions 30 to 507 of the family's 1533-position model. The record is from RNAcentral.